This 301-nucleotide ribosomal RNA is filed under the name uncultured bacterium. Its description in RNAcentral is "partial 16S ribosomal RNA". It matches the Rfam family "Bacterial small subunit ribosomal RNA", at positions 509 to 809 of the family's 1533-position model. The record is from RNAcentral.
CAGCCGCCGCGGUAAUACGAAGGGUGCAAGCGUUACUCGGAAUUACUGGGCGUAAAGCGUGCGUAGGUGGUGGUUUAAGUCCGUUGUGAAAGCCCUGGGCUCAACCUGGGAAUUGCAGUGGAUACUGGGUCACUAGAGUGUGGUAGAGGAUAGUGGAAUUUCCGGUGUAGCAGUGAAAUGCGUAGAGAUCGGAAGGAACAUCUGUGGCGAAGGCGACUAUCUGGGCCAACACUGACACUGAGGCACGAAAGCGUGGGGAGCAAACAGGAUUAGAGACCCCGGUAGUCCCUGUCUCUUAUAA